GGGACACGUGGUAUCCUGUCUGAAUAUGGGGGGACCAUCCUCCAAGGCUAAAUACUCCUGACUGACCGAUAGUGAACCAGUACCGUGAGGGAAAGGCGAAAAGAACCCCGGCGAGGGGAGUGAAAAAGAACCUGAAACCGUGUACGUACAAGCAGUGGGAGCCUCUUAAUGGGGUGACUGCGUACCUUUUGUAUAAUGGGUCAGCGACUUAUAUUCUGUAGCAAGGUUAACCGAAUAGGGGAGCCGAAGGGAAACCGAGUCUUAACUGGGCGUUAAGUUGCAGGGUAUAGACCCGAAACCCGGUGAUCUAGCCAUGGGCAGGUUGAAGGUUGGGUAACACUAACUGGAGGACCGAACCGACUAAUGUUGAAAAAUUAGCGGAUGACUUGUGGCUGGGGGUGAAAGGCCAAUCAAACCGGGAGAUAGCUGGUUCUCCCCGAAAGCUAUUUAGGUAGCGCCUCGUGAAUUCAUCUCCGGGGGUAGAGCACUGUUUCGGCAAGGGGGUCAUCCCGACUUACCAACCCGAUGCAAACUGCGAAUACCGGAGAAUGUUAUCACGGGAGACACACGGCGGGUGCUAACGUCCGUCGUGAAGAGGGAAACAACCCAGACCGCCAGCUAAGGUCCCAAAGUCAUGGUUAAGUGGGAAACGAUGUGGGAAGGCCCAGACAGCCAGGAUGUUGGCUUAGAAGCAGCCAUCAUUUAAAGAAAGCGUAAUAGCUCACUGGUCGAGUCGGCCUGCGCGGAAGAUGUAACGGGGCUAAACCAUGCACCGAAGCUGCGGCAGCGACACUAUGUGUUGUUGGGUAGGGGAGCGUUCUGUAAGCCUGUGAAGGUGUGCUGUGAGGCAUGCUGGAGGUAUCAGAAGUGCGAAUGCUGACAUAAGUAACGAUAAAGCGGGUGAAAAGCCCGCUCGCCGGAAGACCAAGGGUUCCUGUCCAACGUUAAUCGGGGCAGGGUGAGUCGACCCCUAAGGCGAGGCCGAAAGGCGUAGUCGAUGGGAAAC
Molecule: ribosomal RNA, 1006 nt
Filed under: Escherichia coli
Lineage: Bacteria; Pseudomonadati; Pseudomonadota; Gammaproteobacteria; Enterobacterales; Enterobacteriaceae
Description: partial 23S ribosomal RNA
Rfam family: Bacterial large subunit ribosomal RNA
Source: RNAcentral